Molecule: non-coding RNA, 86 nt
Organism: Dichotomopilus funicola
Lineage: Eukaryota; Fungi; Ascomycota; Sordariomycetes; Sordariales; Chaetomiaceae
Source: the annotation of a RefSeq genome assembly
GGUUGUGUAGUGUAGUGGUUAUCACUCUGGAUUUUGACUGAUGGUCAAUAUUUCCAGUAACCCCGGUUCGAACCCGGGCACGACCU